UCGGUCCUACGGGACGCAGCAGUGGGGGAUAUUGCACAAUGGGGGAAACCCUGAUGCAGCGACGCCGCGUGGGCGAAGAAGUAUUUCGGUAUGUAAAGCCCUAUCAGCAGGGAAGAAGAAAUGACGGUACCUGAGUAAGAAGCACCGGCUAAAUACGUGCCAGCAGCCGCGGUAAUACGUAUGGAGCAAGCGUUAUCCGGAUUUACUGGGUGUCAAGGGAUCGCAGUCGGCACGGCAAGCCUGAUGUGAAAGCCCGCGGCCCAACCGCGGGACUGCAUUGGGCACUACCGGGCUGGAGCGCCGGG
Molecule: ribosomal RNA, 305 nt
Filed under: uncultured bacterium
Lineage: Bacteria
Description: bacterial SSU rRNA
Rfam family: Bacterial small subunit ribosomal RNA
Source: RNAcentral